UACGGGGGGAGCAAGCGUUGUUCGGAUUUACUGGGCGUAAAGGGCGCGUAGGCGGCCGGCACAAGUCAGUUGUGAAAUCUCCGAGCUUAACUCGGAAAGGUCAACUGAUACUGUGCGGCUAGAGUGCGGAAGGGGCAACUGGAAUUCUCGGUGUAGCGGUGAAAUGCGUAGAUAUCGAGAGGAACACCUGCGGCGAAGGCGGGUUGCUGGGCUGACACUGACGCUGAUGCGCGAAAGCCAGGGGAGCGAACGGG
Molecule: ribosomal RNA, 254 nt
Filed under: uncultured bacterium
Lineage: Bacteria
Description: partial 16S ribosomal RNA
Rfam family: Bacterial small subunit ribosomal RNA
Source: RNAcentral